Molecule: long non-coding RNA, 124 nt
Organism: Daphnia pulicaria
Lineage: Eukaryota; Metazoa; Arthropoda; Branchiopoda; Diplostraca; Daphniidae
Exons: 2
Source: RefSeq, a predicted model, not a curated record
UUCCAUUUUUGCGGUUUUUUAUCAUGAAAAUCUUCAGUGUGCUUCUUAGUAUAGAGCAUGUAAUAGAUCCUUAAGCCAAUGCUGACCUUUGUCCAUGAAGGAAGAGGGACAUCCAGCAACGUUC